CAAAAACAUUGCCCUUUGAGAAAUGCGUAAAAGGUAAGGUCUGCUCCCUGAUUCAAUUUAAGAGCCGCGGUACCUUGACCGUGCGAAGGUAGCAUAAUCAUUAGUCUUUUAAUUGAUGGCUGGAAUGAACGAUUCAAUGAGGUUUAAGCUGUCUCGAAUAAAACAUUGAAUUUUAUUUUUCUGUAAAAAAGCAGGGAUAAUUUUAUUAGACGAGAAGACCCUAUAGAUUUUUAUAGAAAAUUUAAGUUUCAAGGUAAGGAAAAAAUACCAUUGGGGGUUAAAAAUUUUAUUUGGUUGGGGCGACAGGAGAAGAAAAAAAGCUUUUCUUUUUAUACAAUACCAAUACGUAAGUCUAGGAUCCAUGUUUGGUUGAAAAAAAGAAAAAAAUACCUUAGGGAUAACAGCGUAAUUUUUUUUGAGAGUUCGUAUCGACAGAAAAGAUUGCGACCUCGAUGUUGGAUUAAGAGUAACCUUGGGUGCAGAAGUUCAAGGAUAAGGUCUGUUCGACCUAUGGAAUCUUACGUGAUCUGAU
RNAcentral lists this ribosomal RNA (532 nucleotides) under Forficula sp. FAUR71. RNAcentral's name for it is "partial large subunit ribosomal RNA". It matches the Rfam family "Bacterial large subunit ribosomal RNA", at positions 1808 to 2609 of the family's 2925-position model. Lineage: Eukaryota; Metazoa; Arthropoda; Insecta; Dermaptera; Forficulidae. The record is from RNAcentral.